Molecule: ribosomal RNA, 440 nt
Filed under: uncultured bacterium
Lineage: Bacteria
Description: partial 16S ribosomal RNA
Rfam family: Bacterial small subunit ribosomal RNA
Source: RNAcentral
CCUACGGGCGGCAGCAGUGGGGAAUAUUGCACAAUGGGGGAAACCCUGAUGCAGCGACGCCGCGUGAGUGAAGAAGUAUUUCGGUACGUAAAGCUCUAUCAGCAGGGAAGAAAAUGACGGUACCUGACUAAGAAGCCCCGGCUAACUACGUGCCAGCAGCCGCGGUAAUACGUAGGGGGCAAGCGUUAUCCGGAUUUACUGGGUGUAAAGGGAGCGUAGACGGCAGCGCAAGUCUGGAGUGAAAUCCCAUGGCUUAACCAUGGAACUGCUUUGGAAACUGUGCAGCUAGAGUGCAGGUGAGGGAAGCGGAAUUCCUAGUGUAGCGGUGAAAUGCGUAGAUAUUAGGAGGAACACCAGUGGCGAAGGCGGCUUACUGGACUGUAACUGACGUUGAGGCUCGAAAGCGUGGGGAGCAAACAGGAUUAGAUACCCCAGUAGUC